Molecule: ribosomal RNA, 161 nt
Filed under: uncultured bacterium
Lineage: Bacteria
Description: partial 16S ribosomal RNA
Rfam family: Bacterial small subunit ribosomal RNA
Source: RNAcentral
UGGGGAAUAUUGGACAAUGGGCGAAAGCCUGAUCCAGCCAUGCCGCGUGUGUGAAGAAGGUCUUCGGAUUGUAAAGCACUUUAAGUUGGGAGGAAGGGCAGUAACUUAAUACGUUGCUGUUUUGACGUUACCGACAGAAUAAGCACCGGCUAACUCUGUGC